Molecule: ribosomal RNA, 460 nt
Filed under: uncultured bacterium
Lineage: Bacteria
Description: partial 16S ribosomal RNA
Rfam family: Bacterial small subunit ribosomal RNA
Source: RNAcentral
CCUACGGGAGGCAGCAGUGAGGAAUAUUGGUCAAUGGGCGGGAGCCUGAACCAGCCAAGCCGCGUGAAGGAAGAAGGCGCCAGGCGUCGUAAACUUCUUUUGUCGGGGAACAAAGGGCGCCACGUGUGGCGUUGUGAGUGUACCCGAAGAAAAAGCAUCGGCUAACUCCGUGCCAGCAGCCGCGGUAAUACGGAGGAUGCGAGCGUUAUCCGGAUUUAUUGGGUUUAAAGGGAGCGUAGAUGGGUUGUUAAGUCAGUUGUGAAAGUUUGCGGCUCAACCGUAAAAUUGCAAUUGAUACUGGCAGUCUUGAGUACAGUUGAGGUAGGCGGAAUUCGUGGUGUAGCGGUGAAAUGCUUAGAUAUCACGAAGAACUCCGAUUGCGAAGGCAGCUUACUAAACUGCCACUGACAUUGAUGCUCGAAAGUGUGGGUAUCAAACAGGAUUAGAUACCCUUGUAGUC